AUGGCCAGCUCUGUGUUCCUUCCCUCAGCCCGAGAGCCACUGCUUUCCCUGUGGAAAAUAAUGGGAAUCCUUGUGCUCUUAAAUCACAGUGUCCUAAAUGCACACCUGUCAGAAGUGAGCGUAAAUCUGACCAGAGUCAUUAGAGGUAUGAAAGAAAAGAUGAGGAGAACCUGUGAAACAAGCUGUCCCAUUGUGUUCCAGGUUGGCUACAUGCUUCUGUUUUCUUUCCUUUCAGUUCAGGGUAAGAUUAUAUCUCAUCCACUCACCUGAUAAAUUCACAGAAAGCAUGCAAGGAACAAAGAUAAGCACAAUCAUUUGUAAAUGUUUUAAAAAUGCUGUCACAUCACAGUAUUUUAAUAACCACAAAUAUUUUCACUGAUAUUUGUAGGUAAUUUAGUGAGAUACCUUUUAAAACUCCUGCUAGGUUUGAUCAUCCGUGCCUCUGCAUGUCCACUUGGUUUACACUAGCCGUGUAUUUUGUGUAAGCUAUGCAUCUUACCUCAGCCUGAAAGAGGUGCAGUACAGUGCUUAAGCUCUGAAAUGUAGGUAUUUGGCACGCAAGAUGGGAAUAACCUCAAUUUGUUGUCUAAAAAUGAAGUAUUUAGUCUGAGUGGAGUGCCUGACUUGUAUUACGGUAAAUGAAGAAACAAUUACUUUAAGAAGGCAAUCUGUUAUAUCUAAUGUGCGUGACUUCUUUGGGGAGGCAGUGAGGUUCUCUUUAUUGAGUAGAGGGCAUUCAAGCAACCAUGAAGUGAAUCAAAAUGCAGAUUUCUGACAUGAUGUAUUUAGCGUUAAGAAAUACUCAGAGAAGGGAGAGAAAAGGUUUAACUGAGGCUUUUCAAAUGUGCAGAUAAUGAUAGGAAGGAAUUUUCCAUUUCAGAAAGAAGUACAGCAAAGGCUGUUUGCCAGUCAGCUCUUCAAGGUUCAUUGAUACCACAGAGCUCCACGGCUCACCCUGUGAAGACUGUUAGAUGUGCGUCUUUUGUGUACAUCAUUUUUUCAAGAGCCCCAGUGUGCAAAUAAAGCAGCUUGGCUCAAGGGACCA
RNAcentral lists this long non-coding RNA (1045 nucleotides) under Phasianus colchicus (ring-necked pheasant). RNAcentral describes it as "lncRNA (ENSPCLG00000013038.1)". The record is from RNAcentral. Lineage: Eukaryota; Metazoa; Chordata; Aves; Galliformes; Phasianidae.